CGGCACUAGCGCGGUGGUCCCACCUGACCCCAUGCCGAACUCAGAAGUGAAACGCCGUAGCGCCGAUGGUAGUGUGGGGUCUCCCCAUGCGAGAGUAGGGAACUGCCAGGC
RNAcentral lists this ribosomal RNA (111 nucleotides) under Salmonella enterica subsp. enterica serovar Muenchen. The record is from RNAcentral. Lineage: Bacteria; Pseudomonadati; Pseudomonadota; Gammaproteobacteria; Enterobacterales; Enterobacteriaceae. RNAcentral also lists the same sequence under 34 other names.